Molecule: ribosomal RNA, 278 nt
Filed under: uncultured bacterium
Lineage: Bacteria
Description: partial 16S ribosomal RNA
Rfam family: Archaeal small subunit ribosomal RNA
Source: RNAcentral
UGCCAGCCGCCGCGGUAAAACCAGCACCUCAAGUGGUCAGGAUGAUUAUUGGGCCCAAGCACCCGUAGCCGGCUCUGUAAGUUUUCGGUUAAAUCUGUACGCUCAACGUACAGGCUGCCGGGAAUACUGUAGCGCUAGGGAGUGGGAGAGGUAGACGGUACUCGGUAGGAAGGGGUAAAAUCCUUUGAUCUAUUGAUGACCACCUGUGGCGAAGGCGGUCUACCAGAACACGUCCGGCGGUGAGGGAUGAAAGCUGGGGGAGCAAACCGGAUUAGAUA